Molecule: ribosomal RNA, 448 nt
Filed under: uncultured bacterium
Lineage: Bacteria
Description: bacterial SSU rRNA
Rfam family: Bacterial small subunit ribosomal RNA
Source: RNAcentral
UUGAUCCUGGCUCAGAUUGAACGCUGGCGGCAUGCCUAACACAUGCAAGUCGAACGGCAGCACAGGUAGCAAUACCGGGUGGCGAGUGGCGGACGGGUGAGUAAAGCAUCGGGAUCUACCCUGACGUGGGGGAUAACCUCGGGAAACCGGGACUAAUACCGCAUACGUCCUACGGGAGAAAGCGGGGGACCUUCGGGCCUCGCGCGGCAGGACGAACCGAUGUGCGAUUAGCUAGUUGGCGGGGUAACGGCCCACCAAGGCGACGAUCGCUAGCUGGUCUGAGAGGAUGAUCAGCCACACUGGGACUGAGACACGGCCCAGACUCCUACGGGAGGCAGCAGUGGGGAAUAUUGGACAAUGGGCGCAAGCCUGAUCCAGCAAUGCCGCGUGUGUGAAGAAGGCCUUCGGGUUGUAAAGCACUUUUAUCAGGAGCGAAAUACCACGGGUU